This 496-nucleotide ribosomal RNA is filed under the name uncultured bacterium. RNAcentral's name for it is "partial 16S ribosomal RNA". It matches the Rfam family "Bacterial small subunit ribosomal RNA", at positions 29 to 507 of the family's 1533-position model. The record is from RNAcentral.
AUGAACGCUGGCGGCGUGCCUAAUACAUGCAAGUCGAGCGAACAGACGAGGAGCUUGCUCCUCUGACGUUAGCGGCGGACGGGUGAGUAACACGUGGAUAACCUACCUAUAAGCCUGGGAUAACUUCGGGAAACCGGAGCUAAUACCGGAUAAUAUAUUGAACCGCAUGGUUCAAUAGUGAAAGACGGUUUUGCUGUCACUUAUAGAUGGAUCCGCGCCGCAUUAGCUAGUUGGUAAGGUAACGGCUUACCAAGGCAACGAUGCGUAGCCGACCUGAGAGGGUGAUCGGCCACACUGGAACUGAGACACGGUCCAGACUCCUACGGGAGGCAGCAGUAGGGAAUCUUCCGCAAAGGGCGAAAGCUUGACGGAGCAACGCCGCGUGAGUGAUGAAGGUCUUCGGAUCGUAAAACUCUGUUAUUAGGGAAGAACAAAUGUGUAAGUAACUAUGCACGUCUUGACGGUACCUAAUCAGAAAGCCACGGCUAACUACGUG